UGGGGAAUAUUGGACAAUGGGCGCAAGCCUGAUCCAGCCAUGCCGCGUGAGUGAUGAAGGUCUUAGGAUUGUAAAGCUCUUUCACCGGAGAAGAUAAUGACGGUAUCCGGAGAAGAAGCCCCGGCUAACUUCGUGCCAGCAGCCGCGGUAAUACGAAGGGGGCUAGCGUUGUUCGGAAUUACUGGGCGUAAAGCGCACGUAGGCGGAUAUUUAAGUCAGGGGUGAAAUCCCAGAGCUCAACUCUGGAACUGCCUUUGAUACUGGGUAUCUAGAGUAUGGAAGAGGUGAGUGGAAUUCCGAGUGUAGAGGUGAAAUUCGUAGAUAUUCGGAGGAACACCAGUGGCGAAGGCGGCUCACUGGUCCAUUACUGACGCUGAGGUGCGAAAGCGUGGGGAGCAAACA
This 402-nucleotide ribosomal RNA is filed under the name uncultured Agrobacterium sp. RNAcentral describes it as "bacterial SSU rRNA". It matches the Rfam family "Bacterial small subunit ribosomal RNA", at positions 355 to 774 of the family's 1533-position model. The record is from RNAcentral. RNAcentral also lists the same sequence under 1 other name. Lineage: Bacteria; Pseudomonadati; Pseudomonadota; Alphaproteobacteria; Hyphomicrobiales; Rhizobiaceae.